UGGGGAAUAUUGGGCAAUGGGCGCAAGCCUGACCCAGCAACGCCGCGUGAAGGAAGAAGGCUUUCGGGUUGUAAACUUCUUUUAAGGGGGAAGAGCAGAAGACGGUACCCCUUGAAUAAGCCACGGCUAACUACGUGCCAGCAGCCGCGGUAAUACGUAGGUGGCAAGCGUUGUCCGGAUUUACUGGGUGUAAAGGGCGUGCAGCCGGAGAGGCAAGUCAGAUGUGAAAUCCGCGGGCUCAACCCGCGAACUGCAUUUGAAACUGCUUCCCUUGAGUAUCGGAGAGGUAACCGGAAUUCCUAG
Molecule: ribosomal RNA, 303 nt
Filed under: uncultured bacterium
Lineage: Bacteria
Description: bacterial SSU rRNA
Rfam family: Bacterial small subunit ribosomal RNA
Source: RNAcentral